GACGAACGCUGGCGGCGUGCUUAACACAUGCAAGUCGAACGAAGAGCGACGGAAGCUUGCUUCUAUCAAUCUUAGUGGCGAACGGGUGAGUAACGCGUAAUCAACCUGCCCUUCAGAGGGGGACAACAGUUGGAAACGACUGCUAAUACCGCAUACGAUCUAAUCUCGGCAUCGAGGAUAGAUGAAAGGUGGCCUCUACAUGUAAGCUAUCACUGAAGGAGGGGAUUGCGUCUGAUUAGCUAGUUGGAGGGGUAACGGCCCCCCAAGGCGAUGAUCAGUAGCCGGUCUGAGAGGAUGAACGGCCACAUUGGGACUGAGACACGGCCCAGACUCCUACGGGAGGCAGCAGUGGGGAAUCUUCCGCAAUGGACGAAAGUCUGACGGAGCAACGCCGCGUGA
This 399-nucleotide ribosomal RNA is filed under the name Veillonella parvula. RNAcentral's name for it is "bacterial SSU rRNA". It matches the Rfam family "Bacterial small subunit ribosomal RNA", at positions 28 to 404 of the family's 1533-position model. Lineage: Bacteria; Bacillati; Bacillota; Negativicutes; Veillonellales; Veillonellaceae. The record is from RNAcentral.